UGGGUGGGGCUUCCCCAGGUUGGGCCUAGCACCUUGCUGGGCCCCAGGAAGGCUGUAUCCAGGUCACCACCUGGAGCCCCUUCCUCCUGCCCUGCUUAGUGACACAAGGCCCCUGUGGAUGCUUCUGGCUCCAACUUCCUGUAUAGCAGCCAAGAUGGAGCCGGGAGCUCCCUCCUCCUGCCUCUUGGGUCACUGGCCUUCCUAAAUUGCUUUCUCCUGGAGAUAGGGCAGAAGAGACCAGGACCUAGCUGGUGGAAGUUAUGACACGAGGAAGCUGUCCCCCAGAAGGAGGGCCCCUGCCAGCUCAGUCUUGGUCUCUCCUGCUGUGUCCCCCUGAGAAAGCACAUUGGGCUUCCCUCCAUCAUGGCCCCGCCUCGGACAUCACUCUGCUGCUGAUGGGUGGAGGGUGGCUAACCCGCCCCCAGGGCCAGAGGCAUCCUGCCCUCUGUUUACUCAACCCCCAGCCCUGCCACCCACCGUCACCUCUCUGGAAGGGCUUUGCUCUUGGCUGAGGACCACCCAACUGUCACAGUCACUCUCCCAGAGGCAACAAUGGCCCAGGAACGUUUUUCUGAAGACAUGGUAGGAGCUGGGGCCCCUCUCUUAGGGUUGUGGAGAAGGAGACGUGAUAAGUUACAGGAGUUGGUCACAAUGGGUCCCUGAUCUGGUCUGCAUGGCCUCCCCUGAGUCGCUCCAAGUCUCUGUUUUCCAAAUCCACAAACUGGAGAGAACACGGCCUCCCACUCGGGCAUGAGGGAGGCUGCUUGGUCUAAUACCUGGCGGCCAUUCUACACAGCAUCCUAGUUCAUAAAGACUGAGUGUGUAUUAAACUAUAAAUAUGUCAGAGAGGAGCAUAGCCAUGCCACCGGAGGACACUCCCAAGGGUCCUUAUGACCUUUGCCAUGAAAUGAAAACUAUCACAAGGAGGAAAAGGGGAUCUAGAGAGAAGGGAUAGCAGAGGUCUCAGAAGAAAGAAGGAAGGAAGGAAGGAAAGAAGGCAGGAAGGGUCAGAGAGCGAGAGAACCGAGGGACGCAGGGCCAGCCUGCCAGACUGCUGCUUCCCCUGUCUGUGACAGCAGGACACCCAGGACCCACUCCUCAUCUGCAGAGCCAGACAUGGUAUAGGAACAGUGAUUUGCUUUAAUGUAAAUAUUUUGAUGUAUUUCUUUUCCUGAACUUUUAACCUUGAUGGUAAACAGGGCACAUACAGUAAAUGAAUUGUUUUUCUGAGAACUGACUUUUGAGGAAAUAGGAAAAAAAAAAGAAAGAUUUUUAUUAGCUAAUUAUCAGUCUAGCAUGUGAUUGAAAACCUUCUUAUUGUGCUUCUUAAGCCUGCUUCAGGAGAUUUUGGGCCACUAAAAGAGAGCCUUAGUUUAAUGUAUGGAAAUCAAAACCAUGACUAUGUGUUUGAGCCCAGAUUCAGAGAGCAAACCUGCAGACAGAAGGGAAGUCUCCUGCCAGGUCCCUGAGACAGCAAACCAUACAAGACUCCAGGUCCCAGUUUGCUGCCUGUAGAGACUCUAUUCCUUCCUGGUUCCUGUCCUACCCUGACCACUUUGUUUCAUGCUUAUCCAUUAGAGCAGGUUUUACGAUAGAAGAAGGAAUGUUAAGGUCCACUCUUAAUGUCCAAGGGGCUGCCUUCCUUCUCCCGGCAGAAGGCUGACUGGGCCAACCUUCUUCAGAGACCCUGUCUGUGCCAAUCCAUUGCAUAAAAUUAUUUUGUGAACCCGGCUGCAGUGGUGCCCACCUGUAACCCCAGGGGCUCGAGAGGCUGAGGCAGGAGGAUUGCAAGUUCAAAGCCAGCCUCAGCAACUUAGCAAGGUGCUAGGUAACUCAGUGAGGCCCUAAGCAACUUAGUGAGACUCUGUUUCUAAAUAAAAUAUUGAAAAGGGCUGAGGAUGUGGCCGAGUGGUUAAACACCCCUAGGUUCAGUCUCUCGUACCAAAAAAAAAAAAAAAAAAAAAAGGUUAUUUUGUGACAAUGACAGGAACCACACCAACUUGAGUCCCACUACUGACGGUUCCAUUGAGAGUCUCCCUUCACCUCUGUCCUGUAAUUUCUCUGUUACCUGAAGAUCUGCUGCCUUGGUGUUAGAUCUCUCAUGUGCUUUGAAAUACCUACAGGGAUGAAGACACCUCGGAUCCCAUGUCCUGUGAAGCCCCACUGUAACAGAGCAAUGCGGGGCCGGAAGGGCCCACGAGGCCAACAGCGACCUGGCCUCAGGACAAGUCUUCACCGGGUCGCCCAGGGCUUCUGUGUCUAGCAGAACCAGUCCUUUAAAGCUAAGCCAAGGACACUGGGAUAAGUAUCCCAGGUCUUCCAAGAUGCGUGGCAAUGCCAACGAAGCUUCCAGGCAAGAUUUUCCUUGCAGUCUUAGAACGGGGAGGAAGGUCGCAGGAAAAAUGAAAUGACCCACAGGACCUUUGUUAAAGGACGGGAUUGGGAUAGACCACAGAAUGAGUUAAGACGGGCAGCUCCUAGGAAGUCAGUCCCCAGCUCUCCCAGUCUCCAUCCUUCUCUCCUCCACUUCCUUUCAGAGUAAAUUAGAGAAUCGGCUAAAAUCCAAGUCAAGUGUGUGGUAUAUUUAUCUGAUUGACCUCCUUCUCCUCAUCAUAUCUUAUCUUCACUUGUAAAUUAUUAGCAUCCUCCUCCUGGUCUCCAGGCACAUUAUUCGCACGAUUUCUUUAAAUGUUAGUCAGUCUCUCUGUCUCUGUCUCUGUCUCUGUCUCUCUCUCUGUCUCUCUCUCUCUCUCUCUCUCUCUCUCACACACACACACACACACACACACCUACACACACAUACACCCCUGUCCUGCAGAAACCAUAGCUACUGUGAACAGUUCAUCCUCUGUCAUUCACUGGGAGCUUUGGUCUAGGAAGCCGCUUCUGGUGCUACUGGUGACCAAGUCCACACCACGCAAGGAGCCACUCUCCCCCGCAAUAUAACAAGACAUCAGGUAAACACUAAAGAAUGAAAUUGUGGGAAGCUGAGGCAGGAGAAUGGCAAGUUUAUGGCCAGCCUCUACAACUUAGAGAGGUCCUAAGCAAUGUAGGGAGACCCAAUGUCAAAAAAUAAAAAGGGGCUGGGAUGUGGCUCAAUAGGUAAUCAAUGGUUUAGUGUGCGCGAGUUCAAUCCCUGAUACAGGGAGAAAAAAAAAAGAACUGGGUAUAGAUCAAUGAUAAAGCAUCUCUGGAUUCAUUCCCUGGUACAAAAAAAAAGAAACUUCAUUUAUUUUUCUACCUAUGUCCCUUCUAGUUGAUAAACAUUCUCGGUAGUGUUCCAACUGGUAAGUCCGGGCAUCUAUAAGGCUCUGUGAAUCAAGUAUUUUUGAGAUCUAUUAGGAAAAGGUGGGUUUGUUUCACCCGGAGGCUCAUCAUGUUACUGCAAACAACCUGAGUGGUUGGUAUGAUCAUCUCCGAUUGAUCACCAAUACCCCAGGCCCAAGGUGAAGUUCUGCAGCCAGAAACUAGAUCAAUCGGAAUGCAAGCCCCCUCCCCACUGCCUCCAGGACCCCUGGGCCAAGGUGAGAAGGUGGGCCCAGCCCAGUACUUCCAGGUCCCCACGCUCUGUGCCUGCCUGUCACACGUACCCCAGCAGCGUGAGAGCUCCUUACUCUGCAUCUUGAAGGAACCCUCUUCCAGAAAGACCUCCCCCUCUGGGCGGCAAGACCCAGUGACAGGCUGGUGGCCCUCCCUCCACUGCGUGAGACCUGAAGGAAAUGUUACCUGGACUGGUGGAGGCAGACGUGUCUCUCCUAUUUUCUGCCGGGUUUUUUUUUUUUGUUGUUGUUGUUUUACUUAAAGGAGGUGAGGAACCCUGGAAAACGGGGAAUCCCACUUUUUUGAAGUCAUCAGCCAUCAAUUCUCAGAACUGUAACCACAAAUCACCCAAAAGCAAAACCCUGGAGAGGAGGCAUGGAGGUGGGCUGGGAAUUCUGUGUGUCCCCUGAGCAAGUGCCCCUGACUCAUGCCACGCUGUUGGAGAGCGCUGCCAUGACCCACUGUGUCCCGGACAUAGUCUGAGCUGUGUGCUUCUCUCCUUCCACAGAUGGCAGAAUCGGGGAGACCAAAUGCAGCACGAAGAAUUGUUUCAAAAACGCUUGCACCCUCUCACAAAAAUGGGGAACUCGAUCCCUGUGGGUCAGCUCUGUGUUUUGAAAAAAGGAAAGUAGGGGUCAUUCUUUGCCCUGAAAGUUCCCACUCAUUGUUGAGUAAACAUCAUAAAUCCAUCUCAGAGACAGGCUGCUGGACUCAAAUUACCUCCUGCUACAAUUGUAGCUUCAAGUUCUAAUGCUCAACAUGAAUAACAUUGUCCCCCUCACAGGUCUGAUUAAUGAGACAUUUUGCCAACUUCGGGGUGGAAGAUCGGCUCCCAGCCCCUCCCUCUCCCCCCUGUGACUGGGUAACCAUUUCAGCACAUUCCCCCCCAUUAAGUCCUACAGGGCAGCCGAGUGCCACAAAAACUAAAGGAUAUGGGACAGACACCAGGGUCUCUCUGGGCAGCCCUUACCAGCUGACAGAGGGCAGGUUUGCUCGGGUCUGCCCCAAGAAAUUCAGAACAUUCCAUGCACACUGCGCCAUUUGCCUGUGGCCAUGUGGAGCCUGCAGGUCACUCCUAUAGGACCAUCUGCUUCCCCCGGUAGUUGUGUGUGCCCUACUUGCCUGCAAAGUGACCAAGGCCACAUUUGAAAGUGUGGCAGAAAGUCACAUUCAAGAGGUGACCCAAAUAAGCAUUUCACACCCAACCAGAGAAGAGUGGGGAUUUUGUCUGAUCUAGAAAGUGUCUGCUUCCACAUAAUUCCUGGAAGGAGCACUGAUCACAUGGGAGGAGCCCCACCGGGAGCCGUGGGGGUGAGGGGGGGGACCCCAGGGCUUGCUGAGUCUGCCCUACAGACACGCUCUCAUUUGCCAUCCUCCUGAGCAGUCAAGGACAUCAUCUCUGGGUUUCCCAGAUGAUCGAGCCGUGGCUUAUGGGCUGGUGGCACAGCCAGGAUCUGCGCUCUGGUCUCAAGUGUGAAAGUCGCACUCACCCUCUCGCCCUGUGCCUUCCUUCUCCACACCUGCAUGUGCGCACACACCCCCUACUCCCUCGUGGGCAUCAGUUACAUCAGCGUGGACACAUCCCCAGCAUGACCUGGAUCUGUCCAGAUUUGACGGAUUGAAAGCUACGUUUUCCAUGCAAUUGAGGCUUUAUAUAAUUAUUAUUUCAGGUGAGUUUGAUUUGCUUUUACACCAGGGUUCAGUAAGCAUCUUUCUCAAGGCCACAUGGUGCAUAUGCAGACUUUGCAGCCCCUACGGUCUCUGUGACCGUCACUCAGCUCCGCCACUGCAGCACAGAGCUGGCCACAGGCAAGACGUGCAGGAAGGAGAGUGGCUGUGUUCCAGUAAAACUUUAUUUAAAAAACUGAGCGGCAGGCAGGUUUGGCCUCAGACCAUAGUUUGGGACCCCAGGGCUUUCAACCCAUCAAGUUGUCAUAGUCUGGUGUUUCAGACACUGGGUCUGUCCCGGCGGUGGCUGGGGCUAGCACCCUUGCCAUCAGGGUGUGGGAGUUGCCACUGCUUAGGAAGCACUGGACGAGGAAUGAGGCGGCUCUCAGCAGGGGAGGCCGGUCCAUCAGAGCUGCUGGUGGGGAGUCCUUUGUGUGUGGGGACAUCUGCCCAGGAGCCUUCCUUGGGAAGCCCUUGAUCACACCAUCGUCUUCCUUUUCUCUGCCCUCUCCACCUGUUCCCACUCAAAGGGACCCACCUGAGUUGUUUUGACCCACACAGUGUCCUAUUCACCCUCCGAGCCACACUGUGGCCUCAUUGGGUCAUCUGCGUGGCCGUUUGGAAGGUGUGGGUAGGGCAGGGCUGCAGGGGGCUCAGUGUGUCUCCUUCCUCUUCAACCCUGCCACUGCCACCGCGCUCUGGAAGGUGCUUCUGGUCCCUUAGACCCUCCCAAACCUCGCAAGGCCGAGGCUCCCGGCUUGAGAGACUGUUGGGAAGACCUGGCUCAGGAGAAC
RNAcentral lists this long non-coding RNA (6002 nucleotides) under Marmota monax (woodchuck). The record is from RNAcentral. Lineage: Eukaryota; Metazoa; Chordata; Mammalia; Rodentia; Sciuridae.